RNAcentral lists this ribosomal RNA (462 nucleotides) under uncultured bacterium. Its description in RNAcentral is "partial 16S ribosomal RNA". It matches the Rfam family "Bacterial small subunit ribosomal RNA", at positions 28 to 507 of the family's 1533-position model. The record is from RNAcentral.
GACGAACGCUGGCGGCGUGCUUAACACAUGCAAGUCGAGCGGAAAGGCCCGUCGUGGUCCUCGAGCGGCGAACGGGGGGAUAACACGUUAGUAAACUGCCCUAGACAUUGGGAUAACCCUCGGAAACGGGGGGUAAUACCUGAUACUCCUUCUAAAUCGCGUGAUUGGGUUUGGCAAGUUUGUCGGUCUGGGAUGGACUCUCGGCCUAUCAGCGUGUUGGUGGGGUAAUGGCCUACCAAGGCGAGGACGGGUAGCCGGCCUGAGAGGGCGACGCGCCACACUGGGACUGAGACACGGCCAAGACUGCUACGGGAGGCAGCAGUGGGGAAUAUUGCACAAUGGGCGGAAGCCUGAUGCAGCGACGCCGCGUGGGGGAGGACGGCCUUCGGGUUGUAAACCUCUUUCAGCAGGGACGAAGAGUAAGUGACGGUACCUGCAGAAGAAGCGCCGGCUAACUACGUG